Molecule: long non-coding RNA, 337 nt
Organism: Ailuropoda melanoleuca (giant panda)
Lineage: Eukaryota; Metazoa; Chordata; Mammalia; Carnivora; Ursidae
Exons: 3
Source: RefSeq, a predicted model, not a curated record
CAAGCUUGCUUUCUAGGAAGGAAAUUAAGAAAACCAAAACCAAAACCAAAACCAAAACGCCACCGCACACUUUAGUGCAGGAGAGCCGCUACCUCAGAGAAGCCCUCAUCUGUCAUUAGCUGUGUGCCACUAAACGAGUUACCCAGAGCUCUGUGGCUUAGUUGCCUCGUGUCUGAAAUGCUUCCCCAGGUUGCAGACUAUGGACAGGGUACUAUGGACAGCUGACUCGUGGUUUGAUGAAUCAACUCUCGUCUGCUAGCAUCUGUGACAGUGUAACAUCAAAGAGAAUGUACUACAAAGCUAGAAAUGCUAAUUUCUUCUCUUCAAUCAUUAGUUU